This 322-nucleotide long non-coding RNA is filed under the name Ananas comosus (pineapple). RNAcentral describes it as "long non-coding RNA (ACOM_LNC021994)". Lineage: Eukaryota; Viridiplantae; Streptophyta; Magnoliopsida; Poales; Bromeliaceae. The record is from RNAcentral.
ACAUUUUUGUAAAUUUUAAACGGAAUAAUUAUCUAUAUAUCUCUCAAAACUUCUUUUCUAUGCUCCAUAUAUUUCUCCGUUAUUUAAAAAUAAUUCCGCUGUUAGUACCCAUAAAAUCCAAAUUAAAUUUCUAUCAGAAUUAAAAAGAAAUCAAAAUAUCUCUUUUGUCCCUAACUUAAGGGAAGUAAGAAAUGUUGAUAACGAUAGAAGAGUAUAUUCAAAAGGACACAAAAUAGUAAUUUCACAUAGAUAACUGCUGUUCAUAAUAGUUCACUAACAUAAUUUAACUAUAUAUAGUGAUAAUAUUUGAAAGAACUUAAAC